Molecule: long non-coding RNA, 1037 nt
Organism: Exaiptasia diaphana
Lineage: Eukaryota; Metazoa; Cnidaria; Anthozoa; Actiniaria; Aiptasiidae
Exons: 2
Source: RefSeq, a predicted model, not a curated record
UGCAAGAAAUAUUUUGUGUGUUGUUCUUGUGUCUUCAUCUUGUUUCUGGCGAGGAUAGUGAAACUCAAGUUGGUACUCCAAAACUAGCAUUAACAAUAGGCAUCAGUGGUACUUUGUUAGUUCUUUUCAUUGGAUUAGCAGUAUUUGUCUACAAACCUAACAAACGCUCAAGACAGAAUAGAAAUGAAGAAUCAUCAAGCAAUGUGCCAAUAUGAGAAUAAUGCAGCCUGCAACAUAUGCUUGCAAAUCAAGUACCAGGGGAUGAUCAAUUGAUACUUUCUUUGAAUGAAAAACUAUUAUUGACAAAUAACAGAGGAACGAUGACUUCUCAAGCUACACCCUUUGAACAGACAACAACAUAUUCACUGACAUAAAUGAAGUACCUGUGGACAAUUUAUUGACUCUUUCAUUGAAUUCAACUAUUAUUGAYGAUUAUAAACAGCAGAAAAUGAUGACUCAUCAAGCUACAACCUUUGAACAGAUUACAAUUCUUGUGUAAAUAUGUGAAAGUACCAGUGAAAAAGAAAAAGCUCUUUUCAAUCGAAAUAAACCAUGUAAAUAAACCAUAAGCAAAGCCAAGAAAGAAGAGAWACAACAUAUUAUUUUUCAAGUAAUAUGAUAAAAAUCAUUCAAGUAUUUUUACAAUAAAUAUUUAAAUGUUAUUCAUUAUUUCACWACUGAUAAUAAGCGGAAUAUAUUAGAAAAAAAAUUGAACUUCGAUUGAAAACGUUAAGUGUAUUUUUAGCAAAUGCUUGAGGCAUUUGUAGAUAAUUGCUUUUUUGCAUUAUAUUUACAUUCAGUAUCUAACAGAACGAUGUUUAGAAGAAAAAAAAUCAAUCCAUUUGUCUUAGUGAAAUUACUAAAGAAAAUCAURAAGUAUCUUUUUAUUCAUGUAUUCUAUGGUUUGAUAAUCUUUCUUGCCAUUGUGUUGRCAAGAAAGGAAAAUAACUCAUAUCUCGCGCUUUACCCAACUUUUACCGCAAUUCUUCCCCGSCUGAUUUGUUAAUGAAAUAUAAAUGUAUUGCUUUGGUUUCAUA